GGGUCAGUAGGUUGGUCGUGCCACCGGUACGUACUGGUCUCACUGAUUCCUCCUUCCUGAAGAACCGUAAUGCCAUUAAUUUGGUGUUGCGGGGAGACAGGACUGUUACUUUGAAAAAAUUAGAGUGUUUAAAGCAAGCUAACGCUUGAAUACAUUAGCAUGGAAUAAUGAAAUAGGACGAUCGAUCCUAUUUUGUUGGUUUCCAGGAUUGACGUA
This 216-nucleotide ribosomal RNA is filed under the name Glomeromycotina sp. RNAcentral's name for it is "partial small subunit ribosomal RNA". The stretch from base 40 to 216 matches the Rfam family "Eukaryotic small subunit ribosomal RNA", at positions 686 to 864 of the family's 1831-position model. Lineage: Eukaryota; Fungi; Glomeromycota. The record is from RNAcentral.